GGGUUUUGUUCUUCUUUUUGCAGAAGAAGAAGAAGAAAUCGAACGAAGAAGAUGAUGACGAAACACCAAGGUGCUGGAGUUGGAAAGCGUACAAGCUUAGCUUAUUUGUAGGUGUUGGAGUUGGAAAGCUCACAGACCAAGGCCACGAAAUCCCAAAGAACUUAUUUUGUUGAUGCAUAGCAAAAUUGGUGGGGAAGAAAAACAUUGUACUACAUUAGGGAACCAAUAAAAAUUCGGAUUUGAUUUCUGUAACUACGCUAGUUCGAGCUUUUGAACUCUUUCUUUUGUGCUGAUGGGCAAUGUUCCUACUUGAACUUUGUUAUUUUGUUGUGUAAUAUGAAACGAGGCAGUGGGGACUUGAGUUUGCUAUAGAGUAUACAGUUCUCAUUAAUUUUUAUGGAA
Long non-coding RNA from Rhododendron vialii, 402 nucleotides. RefSeq lists it as uncharacterized. The transcript has 2 exons. The record is from RefSeq and is a predicted model, not a curated record. NCBI's taxonomy places the organism in Eukaryota, Viridiplantae, Streptophyta, Magnoliopsida, Ericales, Ericaceae.